AUGCCGGGGCGGCGGCCCCGGGGACGCGGAGGCAGGGGAGUGCGGUGGCCAGCGGUUCCCGGCGUGGGGGCUACGGGAUGGCCUCGUUUCGGGGGUCCGUGCUCUCCCAGAUCCGGCCAGGACGGCGGCUUCCAUGGCGGGUCUCCGCGCAUGGCGGGCGGGCUGGAGCGUGGCUGCUCCGGCUGGCGUCUGCUGAUCCGUGGUGGUGGCGGUGUGCCACGGAUAGACGGGGGCGGCGCGGCGGCGUCGCUCGAGGUGGUGGAGAGAUGUCCUGGUGAUGGCGGUGUUGGCCCAUGGAUGGUAGGCGGGUGUUGGUUGGUGGCGGAGCGGCUCCGGAAAGUGGAUCCUCAGUGUGGAAGCCAGGGCGGCGGCCCCGGAAAACCGUGCGGCAAGGUGGCGCGGUGGUUCGAGAUCUUGGCGGCGUGUGGUUGCUGCCGGCUGAUCUGUGGCUCGACGAGGGCGACAUGCUACUUCCCUUUCCACGGUAAUGGCCCGAGGUGA
RNAcentral lists this ribosomal RNA (501 nucleotides) under Triticum aestivum (bread wheat). Its description in RNAcentral is "partial small subunit ribosomal RNA". The record is from RNAcentral. Lineage: Eukaryota; Viridiplantae; Streptophyta; Magnoliopsida; Poales; Poaceae.